This 775-nucleotide non-coding RNA is filed under the name Melanargia asiatica. Lineage: Eukaryota; Metazoa; Arthropoda; Insecta; Lepidoptera; Nymphalidae. The record is from RNAcentral.
AUAAAAAUUUAUGUUUUAAAAAAUCUAUUAUAAAUUUAUUUUACAUAUAAAUUUUAGUAUGAAAUUUUAAUUAUUUAAAAAAUAAUAAUAAAAUAAUUGUAGUAAUUAAAAUUAAAAAUUUAAGAAAUUAAGAUUUAGUAAUAUAUAAAUUAAUAACUAAUUUUGUGCCAGCAGUUGCGGUUAUACAAAAAUUAAAUUAAAUUAUUUCAGGUUUAUAAUAAAUAAAAUAUAAAAUUAAAAUAAAUAUUAAAUUAUUAGGUAAAAUUUUAAUUUAAUUAAAUUUUAAAAUAAUUUUAUGAUUUAGUAAAUUUAAAAAUAAACUAGGAUUAGAUACCCUAUUAUUAAAAAUUUAAUUUAUAAUACUAAAAUAGUAGAUAAAAAAUAUUGAAACUUAAAUAAUAUGGCGGUAUUUUAGUUCAUUUAGAGGAAUCUGUUUAAUAAUUGAUAGUCCCCGAAUAAAUUUACUUAAUUUAAAAUUUUAUAUAUCGUUGUUAAAAAAAUAUUUUUUAAUAAAAAUAAUAUUUAAAAAUUAAAAUAAAAAAUUAAUUCAGAUCAAGAUGUAAAGUAUAAUUAAGAAUAUAAUGGAUUACAAUAAAAUAAUUUAAUAUGAAUAAUUAAUUUAAAAAUUAAUUUGAAGGUGGAUUUAAAUGUAAUUUUAAUUAAUUUAUUAAAAUGAUUAAAAAUUAAAAUAUGUACAUAUUGCCCGUCACUUUCAUUUAAAAGUUGGAAUAAGUCGUAACAAAGUAGAGGUACUGGAAAGUGUUUCUAGAAUGAA